Molecule: ribosomal RNA, 253 nt
Filed under: uncultured bacterium
Lineage: Bacteria
Description: partial 16S ribosomal RNA
Rfam family: Bacterial small subunit ribosomal RNA
Source: RNAcentral
UACGUAGGUGGCAAGCGUUGUCCGGAAUUAUUGGGCGUAAAGGGCACGCAGGCGGUUUCGUCAGUCCGAUGUGACAGGCCACGGCUCAACCGUGGAAGGCCAUUGGAAACUGCGAAACUUGAGGACAGAAGAGGAGAGUGGAAUUCCACGUGUAGCGGUGAAAUGCGUAGAUAUGUGGAGGAACACCAGUGGCGAAGGCGACUCUCUGGUCUGUACCUGACGCUGAGGUGCGAAAGCAUGGGGAGCGAACAAG